UACGUAGGGUGCAAGCGUUAUCCGGAAUUAUUGGGCGUAAAGAGCUCGUAGGCGGUUUGUCGCGUCUGCUGUGAAAACCCGAGGCUCAACCUCGGGCCUGUAGUGGGUACGGGCAGACUAGAGUGCGGUAGGGGAGAUUGGAAUUCCUGGUGUAGCGGUGAAAUGCGCAGAUAUCAGGAAGAACACCUAUGGCGAAGGCAGCACUCUGGGACGGUACUGACGCUGAGACGCGAAAGCGUGGGGAGCGAACAGG
RNAcentral lists this ribosomal RNA (253 nucleotides) under uncultured bacterium. RNAcentral describes it as "partial 16S ribosomal RNA". It matches the Rfam family "Bacterial small subunit ribosomal RNA", at positions 524 to 776 of the family's 1533-position model. The record is from RNAcentral.